Molecule: ribosomal RNA, 494 nt
Filed under: uncultured bacterium
Lineage: Bacteria
Description: partial 16S ribosomal RNA
Rfam family: Bacterial small subunit ribosomal RNA
Source: RNAcentral
GACGAACGCUGGCGGCGUGCUUAACACAUGCCAGUCGAACGGUGAAGCGCCUUCCUUUUUGGUGGGUGUGGAUGAGUGGCGAACGGGUGAGUAACACGUGAGUAACCUGCCCCCUUCUUCUGGAUAACCGCAUGAAAGUGUGGCUAAUACGGGAUAUUCUGGGUCUGUCGCAUGAUGGGUCUGGGAAAGAUAUUGUUUCGGUGGGGGAUGGGCUCGCGGCCUAUCAGCUUGUUGGUGGGGUGAUGGCCUACCAAGGCGGUGACGGGUAGCCGGCCUGGGAGGGUGGACGGUCACACAGGGUGUGAGGCACGGCCCAGACUCCGACGGGAGGCAGCAGUGGGGAAUAUUGCACAGUGGGCGCAAGCCUGAUGCAGCGACGCCGCGUGAGGGAUGGAGGCCUUCGGGUUGUGAACCUCUUUCGCCAGUGAAGCAGGCCUGCCUCGUUUGUGGGUGGGUUGACGGUAGCUGGAUAAGAAGCGCCGGCUAACUACGUG